Molecule: ribosomal RNA, 643 nt
Filed under: uncultured Nitrosomonas sp.
Lineage: Bacteria; Pseudomonadati; Pseudomonadota; Betaproteobacteria; Nitrosomonadales; Nitrosomonadaceae
Description: bacterial SSU rRNA
Rfam family: Bacterial small subunit ribosomal RNA
Source: RNAcentral
CAAGUCGAACGGCAGCACGGGUGCUUGCACCUGGUGGCGAGUGGCGGACGGGUGAGUAAUACAUCGGAACGUAUCUUAAAGUGGGGGAUAACGCAUCGAAAGAUGUGCUAAUACCGCAUACACUCUGAGGAGGAAAGUAGGGGAUCGAAAGACCUUAUGCUUUUGGAGCGGCCGAUGUCUGAUUAGCUAGUUGGUAAGGUAAUGGCUUACCAAGGCAACGAUCAGUAGUUGGUCUGAGAGGACGACCAGCCACACUGGGACUGAGACACGGCCCAGACUCCUACGGGAGGCAGCAGUGGGGAAUUUUGGACAAUGGGCGCAAGCCUGAUCCAGCAAUGCCGCGUGAGUGAAGAAGGCCUUCGGGUUGUAAAGCUCUUUCAGUUGAGAAGAAAAGAUUGUGACUAAUAAUUGCAAUUCAUGACGGUAUCAACAGAAGAAGCACCGGCUAACUACGUGCCAGCAGCCGCGGUAAUACGUANGGUGCGAGCGUUAAUCGGAAUUACUGGGCGUAAAGGGUGCGCAGGCGGUUCUGUAAGUCAGAUGUGAAAUCCCCGGGCUUAACCUGGGAACUGCGUUUGAAACUACAGAGCUAGAGUGUGGCAGAGGGGGUGGAAUUCCAUGUGUAGCAGUGAAAUGCGUAGAG